Aphis gossypii (cotton aphid) is the source of this 1071-nucleotide long non-coding RNA. RefSeq lists it as uncharacterized. The record is from RefSeq and is a predicted model, not a curated record. The transcript is spliced from 4 exons. Lineage: Eukaryota; Metazoa; Arthropoda; Insecta; Hemiptera; Aphididae.
CGCCAGACGGUGUUCAAACUGUCAAAGUGUCGGCGAUAAUCAGUCACUCGGAAAAAACUGGUAAACGGUAAAAAACGAGAACGUCGAGAACAAACUUAUUCGAACACGGUAUUACGCUGGUCGUAAAAACCGUUGGGCGGCUCAUGGAGCAAACAGUAAACUUUAAACACACACGACCGCAACGCUGUCUACCGGUUAACUGGCAACAACGGUCGUCGGUCACAGAAAUAAAGAAUUGAACUUAAUAUUAUAUAGAUUCAAUCAUGAGACUUUUCUGAUUCUCUGACUACACUAUACGUCUUUACUAUUUACAUUAUUAAGUAUUUAAUAAAAAAUCUUCAGAGCUUCAGACAAUCUUUUGAUGUUCAAUGGAUUAUGGUAGUUGUAAAAACGUGAUUUUUUUUUUCAUCAAAAUAAAUUUAAAAAAUUCUACUAGACAACUGCGUUUUUGAUUUUCAAACCGUUUAUAUUUGAAUUUGAAUUUAAAAAAAAAGAACUAUUUAAAAUAGAAAAAAAUACCGAAACGCAGUUGUCUAGUAGAACUACUCAAGUUAUUUUUGGUAGGUAAGAAAAAUUAUAAAUUUACAGCUGUCGUGUGCUGCUCAACAAUGCUUAUAUUGCCUAUUCUGCUUAGUGACUAGCGUUAGCAUAACAGCAGUAUACGAGGACAACGUUCAAACUGUUUUAAGUUUCUUACCACAACCCUGAGUAGUGAGUACGAGUGUCGACAAUGUCGAACACCCGAGUGCCGACUGCCGACUAGACAGUGGACAGUGGACACUGGACGGCGCAGCGGACACAUGAAUAAUGAAAAAUUUUCAUUGAAUAUUGAAUAUCUUAUCAGUUUUCACACUUUCACGGAUCAAAACUGGUUUUCAUAUCGUGGCCGGGCCAAUGCUUGAAGAGAAUUUGAUGAUAAAAUAAAUAUACGAAAUAAAAAAAAACACAAGGUACAUAUAAAUAAAUAAAAACAUUUUGAAUAAAGUGACUAAGAUAAUCGAUGUAGACCUAGGUAUUAUUUAAAAAUAAAACAGUCAAAUACUGUCAUACUGAAUUUAUUUUUAAUUAGUA